RNAcentral lists this ribosomal RNA (494 nucleotides) under uncultured bacterium. RNAcentral describes it as "partial 16S ribosomal RNA". It matches the Rfam family "Bacterial small subunit ribosomal RNA", at positions 28 to 507 of the family's 1533-position model. The record is from RNAcentral.
GACGAACGCUGGCGGCGUGCUUAACACAUGCAAGUCGAACGGUGAAGCGCCUUCCUUUUUGGUGGGUGUGGAUGAGUGGCGAACGGGUGAGUAACACGUGAGUAACCUGCCCCCUUCUUCUGGAUAACCGCAUGAAAGUGUGGCUAAUACGGGAUAUUCUGGGUCUGUCGCAUGAUGGGUCUGGGAAAGAUAUUGUUUCGGUGGGGGAUGGGCUCGCGGCCUAUCAGCUUGUUGGUGGGGUGAUGGCCUACCAAGGCGGUGACGGGUAGCCGGCCUGAGAGGGUGGACGGUCACACUGGGACUGAGACACGGACCAGACUCCUACGGGAGGCAGCAGUGGGGAAUAUUGCACAAUGGGCGCAAGCCUGAUGCAGCGACGCCGCGUGAGGGAUGGAGGCCUUCGGGUUGUGAACCUCUUUCGCCAGUGAAGCAGGGCUGCCUCGUUUGUGGGUGGGUUGACGGUAGCUGGAUAAGAAGCGCCGGCUAACUACGUG